CCCCUUUCAAUUCGAGAUAAAGCGGACUACGUUUAAAGCGUCCUUCGGGACUAUGGUCAUAAACGCGCUUGUAAUAAACGGAUCGGACCCGGGGGCGGUACCCGGCAGCUCCACCACAACUCCUUCAUUUGAGGACAGAUGGGGCUGAAAUAGGAUCGACGGACGUCUAAAGAGGUUAGCUUUGGCUCGGUGAGAUACCACCGUUAUCGGUUCAUAAAAGCUAGUUGCAAAUGACAACAAAGCUCCAAUGGCUUUGGCUGCGUAAGCAGUUC
This 272-nucleotide transfer-messenger RNA is filed under the name Planktomarina sp. RNAcentral's name for it is "partial transfer-messenger RNA". It matches the Rfam family "Alphaproteobacteria transfer-messenger RNA", at positions 1 to 277 of the family's 355-position model. Rfam says of the family: Bacterial tmRNA, also known as 10Sa RNA or SsrA, is named for its dual tRNA and mRNA-like properties. Its role is to liberate the mRNA from a stalled ribosome. To accomplish this part of the tmRNA is used as a reading frame that ends in a translation stop signal. The record is from RNAcentral. Lineage: Bacteria; Pseudomonadati; Pseudomonadota; Alphaproteobacteria; Rhodobacterales; Paracoccaceae.